This 445-nucleotide ribosomal RNA is filed under the name uncultured bacterium. RNAcentral describes it as "partial 16S ribosomal RNA". It matches the Rfam family "Bacterial small subunit ribosomal RNA", at positions 354 to 796 of the family's 1533-position model. The record is from RNAcentral.
GUGAGGAAUAUUGGUCAAUGGGCGAGAGCCUGAACCAGCCAAGUCGCGUGAAGGAAGAAGGAUCUAUGGUUCGUAAACUUCUUUUGCAGGGGAAUAAAGUGCAGGACGUGUCCUGUUUUGUAUGUACCCUGAGAAUAAGGAUCGGCUAACUCCGUGCCAGCAGCCGCGGUAAUACGGAGGAUCCGAGCGUUAUCCGGAUUUAUUGGGUUUAAAGGGUGCGUAGGUGGUUUGAUAAGUCAGCGGUGAAAGUUUGCAGCUUAACUGUAAAAAUGCCGUUGAAACUGUCGGACUUGAGUGUAAAUGAGGUAGGCGGAAUGCGUGGUGUAGCGGUGAAAUGCAUAGAUAUCACGAAGAACUCCGAUUGCGAAGGCAGCUUACUAAGCUACAACUGACACUGAAGCACGAAAGCGUGGGGAUCAAACAGGAUUAGAAACCCGUGUAGUCC